UGUACAGCGUGUGUGAUUAAACAAAGCUCACCAAUCUUUUCCUCUGCGUUAAGGAUUCUUUUUUUUUUUUUGAGAUGGAGUUUCGCUCCUGUUGACCAGGCUGGAGUGCAAUGGCGCGAUCUCGGCUCACCGCAACCUCCACCUCCCGGGUUCAAGCGAUUCUCCUGCCUCGGCCUCCUAAGUAGCUGGGAUUACAGGCAUGUGCCACCACACCUGGCUAAUUUUGUAUUUUUAGUAGAGAUGGGGUUUCUCCAUGUUGGUCAGGAUGGUCUCGAACUCCUGACCUCAGGUGAUCCACCCACCUCUGCCUCCCAAAGUGCUGGGAUUACAGGCGUGAGCCACCGCACUCUGCCUAGGGAUUCUUAAUCUAGGUUAACAUACCCUCUGCCUCUAAGUUUUUGUGAGUAUGGAUCAUUUUUGUGAUGAGAAGGCCCAAAGUCUUAAAAUUUCACGUGCCCUUCCCCCAACCAGAGAUAACUAUUUUUGAAGCUGUAGAGAAUCGAUUACAAGUAGUGGUACGGCCAUUUCUUUUGAACAAUGCCUUUGAUGGACUUUGGAGAGGAGAAACUAGUAUUGACCAAAAUUUGCCUCCUCAGCAAACUAUCCCAGGGCACUUUUCUAGGAGUGACCACGUGCGAACCUUCAUGGCCUUCUCUCCUACUCCUAAGGGAACCUAAUGGCAAUUUCCAGAUUUCUAAAGAAACAUUCUUAUCCGGGGCAACAUGGCAAAACCUUGUCUCUACAAAAAAUACAAAAACAAUUAGCCAGGCGUGGCAUGUGCCUGUGGUCCCAGCUACUCAGGAGGGAGAGGCGGAAGGAUCGCUUGAACGUGGGAGGUCAAGGUUGCAAUAAGGCAUGAUCAUGCUACUGCGCUCCAGCCUGGGCAACAGAGCAAGACCGUCUCUGGAAAACAAAGAAAAAGAAAGGAUUCUUCUUUGCCACAGGGAGCCUGGGGUCAUCUAUCAAAUAAAGUAACGGAGGAAGGUUGAGUUCUCCAGAAGCAGACUCAUACGGAGUUUAGUGCGGAAAAGGGUGCUUUUGGGACCAACAGCUGGGAAAGAGAGGGAAAGAAAGCAUACUUUGGCAGAGGGAGAAGUCAAGAAGUAGUACAGUCCAACAAAAGCCUCAUGGAGACCUUUGGUGCUAAAAUGAUCUUUCAGGUAUCUUACAUUCGGUUGAAAUGACUGGACCUUUAUACUCCCGCUUCAGUCAUUCAUGAGAUGUACAUCAACCUUGGAAGGAUGAUUCUUUGCAUAAUCUCGCUCUGUCGUCCAGGCUGGAGUGCAGUGGCUCAAUCUCUGCUUACUGCAAGCUCUGCCUCCCGGGUUCACGCCAUUCUCCUGCCUCAGCCUCCGGAGUAGCUGGGACUACAGGUGCCUGCCACCACGCCUGGCUACUUUUUUGUAUUUUUAGUAGCGAUGGGGUUUCACUGUGUUAGCCAGGAUGGUCUUGAUCUCCUGACCUCGUGAUCCACCAGUCUUGGCCUCCCAAAGUGCUGGGAUUACAGGUGUGAGCCACUGCACCUGGCAUACCUAAUGUAUGUUCUUUCUUUCUUUUUUUAUGAGAUGGAGUUUCGCUCUUGUCGCUCAGGCUGGAGUGCAAUAGAGAUACCUCGGCUCACCGCAACCUCUGUCUCCCAGGUUCAAGUGAUUUUCCUGCCUCAGCCUCCCAAGUAGCUGGGAUUACAGGCAUGCACCACCACGCCCGGCUAAUUUUUUGUAUUUUUAGUAAAGACGGGGUUUCUCCAUGUUGGUCAGGCUUGUCUUGAACUCCCGACCUCAGGUGAUCCACCUGUC
Long non-coding RNA from Symphalangus syndactylus (siamang), 1796 nucleotides. RefSeq lists it as uncharacterized. The record is from RefSeq and is a predicted model, not a curated record. Lineage: Eukaryota; Metazoa; Chordata; Mammalia; Primates; Hylobatidae.